CAACAAAACAGUACUAAAUAUAAAAUUAUAAAGCUUUCUACCUUUUGUAUCAGUACUAGAAACCAACGGCGGUGCGACCUCUUGGUUUAAUAAUUGAUGGUGUAGAUUUCACUUCGCCUUCAUCUUUUCCAGUCGAUUUAUCGCCUUGGCUAGCCAUAUUCUUUAAUUUAAACCUUCGACAGGCAUAGCCUCCUCCGCAAGCAAAUACAUGUGAAUAAUAUAUGCUUACUUACAGUGUAAAUAUUUUCACUAUUAAAAAUAAAAACAAAGUUUGUAUACAUGCAAAUUUGAAAUUUCAAAUUUCCGAAUUCUGAAUUUCUGAUUUCUGAAUUCUGAGCCGUCUCGCACAUGUCUCGAACUCGCGGGACCAGUGCGAAAUUUUCCUGCGUCCUGAUUGGGUGAUGGCCACGCAUGCGCUAGUUCACAAGUUCACCCAAGUGUCAAAUUAUCGCGCAUGCGUUCGUUUCAAACGUUUUGUAAACAGCGAGCUCAAGCGUCCCACAUGCACCACACCUGGCAACUACAACGUACUUAUGUACGGAACUGUUACUUCUAUUUGUGUGUGGUAGUUACCAAUCAUAGGAUCUUGCGAAAAGGGUGCCAGGCAUAAUGGUCUGGGGGCCGCCGGCACUCUCCCCCGUCUCUCUCCUCCGCAGAGGCUUUAGUUUUCUUAGGAUUUAAUAUUACGAUGAGAUACACUCAUACCUAAUUUUAAGAAUUUUUUAUCACUGCACAUUUUUGCGCAAAGUUUAGCCGAGCAGAAGCACGCCCUGAAAAUUUCUGAACACACACAAUGUGUAACUACUAUGCACAAAACAGGCUACAAUUGAUAUUAAAAAAUGCCAAAAACCAACAUACACUGCACAACACGCAGGGUUGCCCAGGGCCAAAUUUGACUUGGUGCCCCACAUGAUUCCAUCUUCUAACACUAUCACUAGGGGGGCCGGGGCAUUCUCCCCAGGAAAAUUUUAAAAUCUGAGGUCCCAGAAAUGGUCAAAUCCUGCAUUCUGGAAGUCUUUUGACAGUUAUAUCUAUGUAUAUUUUACAUAAUUCUUUAUUUCGGCCCUCCUUUAACUAAGACUCCAGGAAAAAUUGCCCCCUUUGACAGCACCUAUAGUUUCAACUAUCUGUGACGGCAUAGUUUCAUAAUCACAUACUUGCAAGAAAGAAAUAUUUUCGUAUUGGCAAAUGAGAGGCAGCUUAGACAGCUUAGGACUGACAAACCUCUAGAGGAGUUCCAAGGGCAUGCACCCACAGAAAAUUUUGUAAUCUAGGCUCUCUAAAAGGGGAUUUUAUGCAAUGUGCAAAGACAUUCUAUAGAAUUCUGAAGAUUACACACUAAUUACAAAAAGAUAAGUAUCAUUCACUUUAUCAUCCAGACUCAUAAAGGAACCUUUGGUGCGAGACUUUGUUCAUCUGAUAAACCUGAAGUAUAAUAUUAGUGCACGUUCGAUGAUUUGGCAGCUAUCAUUUCAAUUUCAUUCAAAUUGUUCUCAUUCAAAAUGUUUUGAUUAAUACUGUCAAGGAGUGUCAAGACGAAUUUUUAGCUCAGUUUUUCUGCUCAUUGCCUGGAUUUUCGUGUUAAUUGUUAACAACUUAUCACAGCAAAUUUUAUCACUGCACAUUUUACAUUUUAUCACAGCACAUUUUAGUUUUAUCACUGCACAAAUUGGUUAUCACUGCACACUAAAAUUAGGUAUGGAUACACUUCACUACACUUUACAUGGCGGAUCUUGGAACACGAGCGUAGCCGCUGGGCGAAGGAGCGCAGGCGGCAAAGGGAAAGGCGAUAAAGCCUCUGCGGAGGAGAGAGCUCCCCCGUCGUUCGUUCGAUACCGCUUGGUAAGCCACCUAUCCACUCGCCUCUCUGACUCGUCCCCAGUCGCUUACCUAACGCGCGUUGAAUUACCCAACGCGCGCUGAUUGAUGGGAAUGUUCCUUUGCGUUAGAAGCAGUGUUAGGGACUGUGGAAGAGUCAGCUCGCCUCUGACGAUAGCGUUGAGUUUAGCCGAAAUCUAGCUUAAACGUUAACAUACGGCGUUCUAGCGGUUAGCACGAGACGGACUUGACCGAUAUGAGUUAACAGAGUCGGGAAGUAUGGCCCAAUGAGGCACUUUUUCUUUUUGUUUACAACGGCAUAACUUACCCUUCGAUAUAAAACAGAUCUACUAAUUUACCGAUCAAUUGAAUUGCGACUAAAAAAGUUAGCAGUGUGUUUUGUGCUUUUAUCUAACUUAUAAAAAUGUAUUUUUA
RNAcentral lists this long non-coding RNA (2253 nucleotides) under Paramuricea clavata. The record is from RNAcentral. Lineage: Eukaryota; Metazoa; Cnidaria; Anthozoa; Malacalcyonacea; Plexauridae.